RNAcentral lists this long non-coding RNA (1276 nucleotides) under Pogona vitticeps (central bearded dragon). RNAcentral describes it as "lncRNA (ENSPVIG00000003285.1)". Lineage: Eukaryota; Metazoa; Chordata; Lepidosauria; Squamata; Agamidae. The record is from RNAcentral.
UGAGUGAAUGAAUGAAUGAAUGAAUGAAUGAAUGAAUGAAUGAAUGAAUGAAUGAAUGAAUGAAUGAAUAAACCCGACCAGAGCUAGAAUGACCAAGCAAGGGUGAGAUCAUGGGAUGGAGGUGGUAGCCGUGAUGGCCAAGGAAGGUAGAGAGAGGCCAGAGGAAUGAGAGGGUCUGCCACCCCCCACCAUCCCAGAAUUAGAGACCCGGCCAGCAAGCAGGAUGAGGUAGGCAAUGAUAAUGGUGCCGAAGUGAGCAGAAGGGCAAGCUAAGAAAAGAAAGGUGGAGCAGGGUUGGUGGGGUCUUCUCAGCAGGGGUAAUCUACACGUCAGCCCUCCUAAUCCUCCACUGGCUCCGGCAGUUGCUUCACCCUCCCUAAUGGUAGGGCUGGCAUUUCUUUGCACAUCCAAUCAGUUACAAAGGAGUUGUGCAGCUACAGAAAAAAAUGUAACCGCAAGAGAAACACAUUUCCCCUGAACGUCUGAUCACCCUAAAAAUUUUAGUUAGUAUGUUAGUAACAUUAUUUAUUUUCAGGCACGUUGAACCGAUGGAAUCUGUCGUCCCGGAAGAGAGACAAUUUUCUCCUUCACUGAAAUGGAAGACAUGGGAAUUCAGUGAUAUAAAUCCCUUUCUGCAGGGCAUUAUGAAACAAUUCAAAGACGUGUUUGUAUCUGGGCUUCAACCACAGAAAGGUGAGUUUGGGGUCUAAUGGUUCAUCCUCCAUGUUUGGAUUUGAGGUAGGGUGGGAGAUGAUGGUCAAAAUUCACACAAAAGAUGGCUACUUCUCAGAAGGUUACCAUCAUGGAUCUCAUUCCCGUCUCAUACUUUGUUCAUAAAAACGCUAAAUCUGUUAAAUCAUUCCUUGUAUGAUGGGAAUACUUAAAAGAUUGCUCUCCUUCUCCCUCAUAUCACACAUCUUCCCUCAGCCACAACCCUGAUACUUAUGCAUUAAUAAUAAUAGCAGUCAUGUGCCAUUAAGUAAGUUCUUUAUUUUUUUAUUUAUUUAUUUAUUUAGUCUCAUUUAUAAGCCACUUUUCCCCCAUAAGAGGAUUCAAGGCAGUUCACAAGGUUAAAACAAGUAAAAUCAUAACACAACUUUUCAAGAAAAGAUUGGACAGCCCUCUGUCCGGGAUGGUAUGAGGUCUCCUGGCUUGGGCAGGGGGGUUGGGCUAGAAGACCUCCAAGGUCCCUUCUAACCCUAUGACGAUUCUAUGAACACAUUAAAAAGCAAAUCAAACUAUUAUAAUAAUAAAUUAUGUCAAGUCAUUAAAGGCA